AAGGUUAUCUUCAGCAUGGCAUUAAAUGACUUCAGGGCUUACCAAGGGUCAGUGGAUGAUAUCCUUUUUGGCACUUGCCUCUUGUUUUGGGAACAUGGUGUAAUUUUAAUUGGUGCAGGAUGUCUUCCCCUGCCUUUCUUCCUUUGGGAGGAUGGGCUCAGCAGUUUUUAGAAAGGGAACUGUGCAAUAAGAGUAUCUAUCUUGUUAGUGAGGGGC
Molecule: long non-coding RNA, 216 nt
Filed under: Elaeis guineensis (African oil palm)
Lineage: Eukaryota; Viridiplantae; Streptophyta; Magnoliopsida; Arecales; Arecaceae
Description: long non-coding RNA (EGUI_LNC015280)
Source: RNAcentral